AGUAGGAUGGCUGAGAAAAUGAUAGGUGAUAAAUUGUAAAUUUAUUUAGGGGCUUUGGCCCUUCUACUA
RNAcentral lists this transfer RNA (69 nucleotides) under Balta hwangorum. Its description in RNAcentral is "tRNA-Tyr". The record is from RNAcentral. RNAcentral also lists the same sequence under 1 other name. Lineage: Eukaryota; Metazoa; Arthropoda; Insecta; Blattodea; Pseudophyllodromiidae.